Molecule: ribosomal RNA, 201 nt
Filed under: uncultured bacterium
Lineage: Bacteria
Description: partial 16S ribosomal RNA
Rfam family: Bacterial small subunit ribosomal RNA
Source: RNAcentral
UACGUAGGGACCAAGCGUUGUUCGGAUUUACUGGGCGUAAAGGGCGCGUAGGCGGCGUGGUUAGUCACUUGUGAAAUCUCUGAGCUUAACUCAGAACGGGCAAGUGAUACUGCUGUGCUAGAGUGCAGAAGAGGCAAUCGGAAUUCUUGGUGUAGCGGUGAAAUGCGUAGAGAUCAAGAGGAACACCUGAGGUGAAGACGG